UACGAAGGUCCCAAGCGUUGUUCGGAUUCAUUGGGCGUAAAGGGUGCGUAGGCGGCGCGGUAAGUCGGGUGUGAAAUCUCGGGGCUUAACUCCGAAACUGCAUUCGAUACUGCCGUGCUUGAGGACUGGAGAGGAGACUGGAAUUUACGGUGUAGCGGUGAAAUGCGUAGAUAUGCGGAGGAACACCAGUAGCGAAGGCGGCACUCUGGGCCGGAACUGACGCUGAGGAGCGAAAGCGUGGGUAGCAAACAGG
This 253-nucleotide ribosomal RNA is filed under the name uncultured bacterium. RNAcentral describes it as "partial 16S ribosomal RNA". It matches the Rfam family "Bacterial small subunit ribosomal RNA", at positions 524 to 776 of the family's 1533-position model. The record is from RNAcentral.